CCUACGGGAGGCAGCAGUGGGGAAUAUUGCACAAUGGGGGAAACCCUGAUGCAGCGACGCCGCGUGGGUGAAGAAGGGCCUCGGCGCGUAAAGCCCUUUCAGCAGGGAAGAAAAUGCCGGGACCUGAAGAAGAAGCCCCGGCUCAAUAAGUGCCCGCAGCCGCAGUUAUACGUAGGGGGCAAGCGUUAUCCGGAGUUGAUGGGUGUAAAGGGGGCUCAGUGGGGGCUGCAAGGCAGGAGGGAAAGCGCGGGGCCCAAACCCCGGCGAGCGGUUGAAACUGGGUGGCUCGAGUGGAGGAGGGGUACGCGGAAUUCGUGGUGUAGCGGUGAAAUGCGUAGAUAUCGGGCAGAACCCCGAUGGCGAAGGCAGCGUGCUGG
Molecule: ribosomal RNA, 377 nt
Filed under: uncultured bacterium
Lineage: Bacteria
Description: partial 16S ribosomal RNA
Rfam family: Bacterial small subunit ribosomal RNA
Source: RNAcentral